This 962-nucleotide small RNA is filed under the name Pan troglodytes (chimpanzee). Its description in RNAcentral is "processed transcript". The record is from RNAcentral. Lineage: Eukaryota; Metazoa; Chordata; Mammalia; Primates; Hominidae.
AAGAGCUAGGUCUGCACCCUCUGAGUCCCGCUAGGGGAAAGUGGGGAACCCAAGGAGGACGCAGGUCCUGGGUAGGGAAAGCCGAGGCCCAGCCUAAGUCUUGGCGGACAUCGCCUCUUGCUUCCCACAGUGCCGGGCGGCGGUGUCCGUCGCCUUCGCUGAAGUGGAGCGGCGGCUGCGCUCGGGUGGGGCGGCUCAAGCAGCGUUGCAGACGGAGCUGAGCGCUUGCGGGCCCCUGGGCCGCGCUGAAAACCAGGCGGAGCUGUUGGGGGCGCUGCAGGCACUGGUGGGAGGUGUAGUGCAGUAUGAUGGGCAGACGGGAGCGCCGCUAAGCGUGCGACAGCUCUGCGGACUUCUCCUCGGGGGCGGGGGCAACCGCAGCCACUCCACGCCCUACUGCGGGCUUCGUCGGGCGGUGCAGAUUGUCUUGCACAGCCUGGGCCAGAAGUGUUUAAGCUUUUCCCGAGCAGAGACAGUGGCACAGCUGAGGAGCACAGAACCUCAACUGUCUGGUGUGGGUGACCGGCAGUGGUUGUAUCAGACAUGUACCGAGUUCGGCUUCUAUGUCACCUGUGAGAAUCCCAGAUGUCCUUUCUCCCAGCUCCCAGCACUGCCCUCCCAGCUAGACCUAUGUGAGCAGGUGUUUGGGCUCUCAGCCUUGUCAGUAGCCCAGGCUGUGGCUCAGACGAACUCCUACUACGGUGGCCAGACCCCUGGGGCUAACAAAGUGCUGUUUGUUAAUGGGGACACAGACCCCUGGCAUGUGCUAAGUGUAACACAGGCUUUAGGAUCCUCAGAAUCAACUCUUCUUAUCCGCACUGGCUCCCACUGCUUGGACAUGGCACCUGAGAGGCCCUCAGACUCCCCCAGCCUCCGCCUAGGGCGCCAGAACAUCUUCCAGCAGCUACAGACCUGGCUCAAGCUGGCAAAGGAGAGCCAGAUUAAGGGUGAAGUCUGAAUCU